AGUGGGUUCCGAUCCGCGAUAUAGUGUGUGCAUUCCGGAUCAGACAUUCGCGCGGUGUAUAUGCCUCGUGCUCAACAUUAUCGUAAACUGAAUUUUUAUUAACCAGUUUUAUUAUUAUUAUUACAUCGUAACAAUAACCAUUAUUUUUAGUAUCGAAUGACUGUUUCCAUAUUUAGUGACUACUUUAAUACACAUUAUAAAGAUGUCUUAUUUUAGUGACAUUUGUGCUUGACUGUGAGAAAUUAACAAAUUUAUUUUGUGAUUGUGAACUUAGUGAACUUGUGUUAUUUUUUUUUAAUUACCUAGUAGUAUAGACAUCCCUCAAUUUUUGAGGGAUAACUGAUAAUCAGCCAAAAUUAACGCGACAAUAAUGAACUCAUAUUUCGAACAAAGUGGCUUCUACGGAAGCCACCAUCAUCAGGGAACUGGUUCCGUUACAGGAGCACAUCAUCAUGAUCACCAAAGUGCAGCUGCGGCAGCUGCUUACAGAUCGUUUCCUCUUAGUUUAGGUAUGUCUCCAUAUGCCUCUAGUCAACAUCAUCAUGCACAUUCUUUACAUCAAGCCCGUCCACCUCAAGAUUCUCCGUACGAUGCUUCCGUAGCUGCGGCAUGUAAAUUAUAUUCUUCUUCUUCAGAUGGCCAACAAAACUCUGUAAAUUAUAGUUCGUCAACGACAAAAUCAGACUGUUCAAAAGGGAACGCGGAUCAAAACGGUUACGCUUCGGUGGUAGCUGCUGCUGCAGUUAAAGACGUUUGGCAAAGUGCAACUUCAGGUGCCGGUGCAAAUCUAUCAAAUAGUCUCACAGGCCCCGUGCGUCCUGCAGCGUGUACACCAGACUCUCGAGUGGGUUAUGGUUCGUCGGUAGGACUUGUUGGUGGCGAUCCGUCAUCUAGUCCCGGAGCAGCAACAGGAGGAAGGACGUCAAAUUCGUUAUCUUCAUGGAACAACCCAUGUUCAUUAAAUUCAUCAUCUUCUCAACCCGUUGGUACUCAGAUCCAUCAACAGACGAAUCACACAUUUUAUCCUUGGAUGGCAAUAGCAGGUGCAAAUGGCUUACGACGAAGAGGCCGUCAGACGUAUACGCGAUACCAAACACUUGAACUUGAAAAGGAGUUCCACACGAACCAUUAUCUGACACGGCGGAGACGAAUCGAAAUGGCGCACGCGCUCUGCCUCACAGAACGACAGAUCAAAAUCUGGUUUCAGAAUAGGCGAAUGAAAUUAAAGAAAGAAAUUCAAGCCAUUAAAGAACUUAACGAACAAGAGAAACAAGCGCAAGCGCAGAAAGCGGCCGCCGCAGCAGCUGUAGCGCAAUCGGUAGUGGAGCAAAACUAGUGGCUGCAAGGGGAAAUUUCCUCGGAGGAGCAACAUGUCCUGUAAGCCUUAGACACUCUGGCAGUGCACCAUACAUCCGGAAACAGGAAGUGUUGCCAACCACACCAGGAAUUUCCACUAAAUCGGAUCAGCUAUCGCGGAAAUACGUACUACAACCAAAACAGGACUCUUCAUUGUGAAAAUUGUGUAUACUCUAGUGGAUAGUGUAAUAUGUAUACAGGAUGUUUUUAAGCCGUAGGACAAGUACUACUAUGAAAGUCUAAACCUUUACUUAUUAUUUUAAUAGAAAAAUUAGCAGAAAAUAAAGCUAAAAAUAAAGAAGUUGCAAGAUUUUUAUGUAUAAUAAACAAAUAUUUGUAAAUUAGUUGAUAUUUUUGGAAAAAAAUGAAUAUCUUUAAUAAUUAAUUUGUAUUGUAAACGGCCACAAAGUUGAAAUAAUGAGAUAAGAUAUAGACUUUAUUCUAAAUGGUUAAAAUUAUUUAAAAAUUUAUAUACUCUAUCUUACGGUUUAAAACAUCUUAUAUCUUUAAUCCAAAGUAAGAUAAUGAUAGUGAUAAAAUAUUUUUUGAGUGAAGAUUUUCUUUAACGAAAUUUGUUUUGUAAAAAAUAAUGUGACACAAAAAAGAUACGUAACUGGAUAUAUGUGCCAUACUUUACAAAAAUAUACGUAAAUAUGAUAUACGUAAAAAAAUAUAAAUCCUAAUAGUUCUAAGUAUAAAAUUUAUUAUAUUAAAUUAUCAGCCAUUUCGAUGACUUUUAUCAAGAAUAUAAUUGUACUAGAUAAAUAUUUGUAUUGAAAUCAACAUCAUAUAAGCAAUUUCAGAUGAUGUUACAAUUGCCUGAUCCCGAUACAUUUAGUAGACAUUCAAUUCGUGAUUAGUUAGAUUAGAUUGUCUGGCGAACAUUACAAAGAUAACUUUAGAGAAUUCUCGUUCGCCAUUUCUGUGCCCUUCGACAAUCAGAGCAGUGUAGUAGGGUGUAGUAAACACCUUUAUCGACGCCAAAGAAUUAAUUUUAUCUCAUCGAUUCAAUCGGUAUUUGAAAUUAUGAAAUAAUUUUUUUUAAAUUUCAUCAUAAAAUAAUGCAUUAGUCACACAGGGUUUUUCUGAAAGGCUGAGACAUUUCAUAACUACAAUCCUGAAAAUUACUUGAUUUAAACUAACUUUCUACUUUAUGCAGAAUCGUCUUUUUAAGUUGGUACAAAUCAUUAAAAUUGUAAAAAAUAAUAAUGGUGUUGAUUAUAGAAAGAGUAAGCAUUGAACAUUUGGCAUAUAAUAAUACUGGGCCAACAAGUCAUAUUUAAAGAGAAGUUUGGGCCUCAUCAAUGAUUAGAACAUAGUUUAGUAGCGAUAAUAAGUCUAAAACUAAUUUAUUCUGUCUUCCACAGCAUUUCUAAUUUUUCUUUUAAGUUCAUUAUCUAUGUUAACAAGCAUAAAAUAUUUUUUCAAAUAUCUUUAGAAUGUUGUCUUCCAUUUGGAGAGUAAGAAUUGGGACAGGACGUCAUUGAUAUUUAUCUCCCAUUUUUAUAGAAACGUGCAGAGGUUUUGCACCGGAUGAUGAGAAAAACUCUGUUGGUUGGCUUCUUUUACUAUAUCCUUCUAAAAUUCCCAGGACCAACAACUUAUUUCUCUAAAAAUCCGAUAAGAAAAUAUCUUGGAACGUGUGUGUGUGUGUGUGUGUGUAAUUCAAGGCGUCAUCUAUACUGCCUCCAAAGGGUUUAUUGACCCCCCUUUUUCAUUUGUGACACUAGAGACGAUCAGUGUUUCUAGAAGAUCUAUUAAUCUCACUCCUUUCAGGAAUUUCAGGACGUGGAUGGUUCUAGCUGCCAAAGAUCUUCAUUUUCCAUUUUAUAUGCCGUUAGGUGCAAUACCCCGAUUCAUCUAAUGUCUUAAAGCGCAUUUCAUGAAAAAGUUUAGCACCAACAAAUGAAUUGUUCGCCACUAUUUACGCAAGUUUGUCUUCUAUUAAAAUUUUCUCCACCCUAGUUUGACAGAAAAAUAGAAAGUUUUCUUAUGUAAUGUAAUUUAAUUAAAUAAUACCAUAAAAGACAUAAAACGGCGUAAAUUAUAUUAUCUGGUUAUUCCUCUACUCACAAUAUUUUAUAUUUUUUUAGGUAUGCUUCAAUUUUUGCUUAUUUAGUUCAUUUCAUUUAUUUUAUAUAUAGUCUAAGAGCCUGUGAACCCCAGAUCUUUGUGAUUUAAUGAAAGCUGAAAGUUUGUCAGCGCAUCCAACAAAUAAAGUGUGAUUUUCAGGUAUUACCUUCAAACUGUUAUUAAAAAUAACGGUAUUCAUUGCCAGACACACUUAAUUUUCAUUAAAUUAUAAUUCUAGUUUAUAUUACCUUAUAGUAUAAAAGCUUUUAUUUAUAAUACUUGCGUAAUAAUCGCAUGAUGUUUCAUCAUUACCACUUUUUUAUAGGGUAGCUAUUUACCUGCUAAAGGCACGGUAAUCCAAACUUCAUAAUCGCUCAUAGUUCUUACUUUGGGAGCAUGCGCUAACAAACUUUGAGCUUUCAUAAAAUAACAAAGGUCUGGGGUUCACAGACUCUGAUUCUAUGGAGAUACUUUUGUUUCAAUAAAAAUAAAAAAAAACAUCACAAAUUUUCAUAUCAUAGUUGGAGAUCUGGGAACGUUUACAAUUUUCGUUAUUAGUAUUGACAAAUAAAAAAGAACGUAUCAUAACAAUAUUCACAAAAGUCUGUGCUAACAUCUUAAAAUAAAGUCACAGUUGCCACAAUUUAUUAUAAUUGUUGAAAAUGACGGUCGCAAUCAAAAGAUUAUUAUUAAUGACGCUUCAGUAUGAUUACUUUAAAAAAUCUAAUAAACAAUUACACUGCGCAAUUGCUUUCUAAUCACUUGUUGUACAAAUGGAAAUAUUUUUAUUUUUGGUGCUCUAAUAUUAUUUCCUUGCUAUUUCUAAUAGUUAAUGUUUAUUAUCAGGAAUAGAACUUUGUUGAUGUGUAACAUUUUCAACAGAAAUCAACCAUUAUUAAGUAAUCAAAAUGCAAAAUCAAAAAUAAAAAUUUUCACGUCAUAAAUUAUAAUUUUAAAUAUGAUUUACCCACUAAUUAUGUAGCUACAAAAACACAUAACACGUAUUUAGAUAUGUCUUACUUUUUAUAAGAUUUCCUUCUUUUCAAAAACUGUAGAUUUUCCCGAACUAUUCCAUGAAUAUAAAAUCGAUUAUAUGAAUCAGGGUAUAGGCAACCGAAGAAUUUAUUUGUACAUUUUUAUGUUGGUGCUAGGAUAUUUUGAGCGAUUUUCAUGAAAACUAGUAUAAAAGUUUUACGGGAUAUAAGUCGUAAGAAAUGGCUGCAGAUUCAUUUUUUAUUUGUUAAAAUCAUGUGAAUAUCAAUCUAGACUACUUUAUGUAUUUAAUUUUUUUAUGUUGGUAUGCAGUUUUUUGUUUAAUAGUAUUUACUUGAAAGGCAAUUGGAUUGUGCAAUAUUAUAAAAAUUCGAUGUUUAGGAUAAUAGUAUGGUGGCAGUUUCGAACUGUAAUAAAAGUGUAGUUACAAAAACGUCACUCAACCUUUAGUUGUCGCCACGUUACGGAUGUGUACAUACUUAAAAAAAUUUAAAGAAGAUCUCAGAUCAUCUAUCCUUAACGUGCUUGUGUACAUUUGGGUUUAUACUGAUUGUUGAUAGAGGUUUUUGCAAUGUAAGUAUUUUGUGGAAAAAUGGAUCUCUUUUUUUAAGAUUAUGUAAAGUAGACUAAUGGCUUAUUUAACCAUUUGAAUACCCCACAGCUAACAAGAGAAACUAUUGAUAUCAAAAUAUUCUAAACAACUCUCCCAUUUUCUAGCGGUCACAAAAAAAAUAUAUUAUCAUGAAGCUAAUUAAACUUUCCAGGUAAAAUAUUAGAUAAAACAGUUGGAAAUUAUAGUGAGAUAUAACUAAAAUUUUGAAUUUUGUUUUUAACUUCUAGAUUAAUUGGUACCCAGAAAAAUAUAUUGUGAAAAAUCGAAACAAAUUUUCAAUAUGACUACAUAGUGAAAUAAAUGAGGAUGUGUGAAAAUUAGGUAUCAUUAGAUAUUAUUUAGUCAUUUACAAUGUGCUUUCAAAUUUAAAUUUUGAAAUCAAUCCACAUUCAAACAAAAUAUUUCAAAAUUAUACUCAACAUUUUUUUACUAUUCACUAAUUCACAAAGUAUUGUCAAAUUAAUAUCAAGUUUUAAGCUACUUUUUUCUAUUGGAUACAUAUAAUGAUUGUGUAUGUGUAACUUCCAAGAAAAUUCUAACGAAAUUUAUGAUUUGUGAAGAUAUUCUCUAUAAAUAUAAUUAUAAGUAUAUCGAUUCAUUGAAAAUUUCUAUUUUUUAUGAAACUUUGUAGUUCUUAUGAUUUACUUCACAUUUCAUCUUCUUCAGUUUGGUAAAUAUUUCUAUCUAAGUUGUGGAUCGCUAUAGCACAGCAUUAGAAGCUGUUAAUAUUAUUUUAAUUGGAUGGUUGGUAAUUUGAGGAAUUUUAAUUUGACGAUUUCGUUAAUAGAAUGCUUAUUUACUCCUGAAAAAACUAUGAAAUAUGUUCAGACGAAAUAAUUUGCAUUUGUGUUAUUUUUGUAAAAUCAAUUAAUUUCGACUUUUUUUAUUCCAAAAGUAAUUUAAAAUUGAUAAAUAUCAGUCUGUUUUACAUAAACAUGUCAUCUAUAGAUUCUCAUUUCACAAAUUUAAAGAUAAGGAAUAGAACUCAUUAGAGAUCAGAGUUAUAUCGGCAGGAUAUAUUUAGAAAAAAAUUCACAAAAUAACUAUUAGUAUAUUAGACAUUUUGGAGUUUGAAAUUUUACCACCUAAAUGCUCCUCUUCACGUAUAAAUGCAUAGACAAGUGACUUAAUAGUGAUAUAAGUUACCAAUAGUUGUCUGUAUACACACUCCAAUGGGUGUUUCAUACUUUGGAAAACGAUAACUUAGGUUAAGUUUGAUCACCUACUAGCUGAUUGCUCAUCUUAACUCAGAACUCAUUUAUCGGUGAAAAUUUCAAAUUUGAAACAUGAUCUACAAGAAUUUUUGAUUUUAAUCACUUUUUGUUCGUUAAUUCUUUCAGUAUAUUUAUUUAUAGAUGUUUAAUAAUUGUUAUUGAGCAGUUAUCAACGAGUCACGCGUAUUUUAAUACUAAGUAUAAAAACCGCAAUUUUGGAUAGAUUAACUUUCUUUUUUCUAGUAUUUUGGUUUGUAGUUAUCGUCAAUUUCUAUAUUUGUUUACUUUAAUCUCUGGCUUUGAGUAUCUGUAUGUGUGACGACGAAUUAGAUUAUCCAAUGAUUUUUUUAAUUCCAUGGUUUUUAAUUCUGUACACUCUACCUUAUUCAUUACUGCAGUUUCUUGUCAAUUAUUUCAAAAUUUUAUUCAGGAUUUUGAACAAGCUGAAUACUUUUUCAAUUUUUUGGAACCUUCACUUUUCAUACAAACCAACAAGAUAUUCAUUCAAAUUUUGACUGUAAAUCGUUUGUAAUUUCUAUAUGUUAAUCUAUUUAAUUUAAUUUAAUUUAAUGAAUGUUAAUUAAAUAAUUGAUUACUUUCUGUUGUGAUAUUUGCUUGAAAAGAUACUGCUUUUUUUUUAAGCGCACCAAGAUUAGACCUAAAUAAAACCUAUCAGAAUUAUUUAUCACUUUUAUGCUUUAGUAUAGUACUCGUAAUUUUCUGGUAUGUACUUACAAGAUAACAAAAAGUUCAAAUCUGCAUCUUGAAUACCUAAGAUAUCUCAGUUAAAAUUUUCCCAAUCAUUAAAAUUUGAGAGGUACUACAUUAAAUAUAAAUAUAAAGAACUUUCGAUAGAAUAGGAAGUUGUUUAGAAUAUAAAAUUAUUCAAACUGCCCAGUCACAUUGAAUAGGUACUUGUAAAAAUGUUCAUUACUUAGGAUUAGAGCACCGCUUGUACUAAUUUAGAAGGAUACUUUUUGUAAAGUUGUAUAUAGACAUAAAAAUUGGAAAUACGGAAAGUACAUCAGAUUGAAAACAUUUCAAAAAUGUUAAUAUUCAGAGAAAAAAAUGUUCUAAGUAGAAUGUUCAUAGAAGUAAUAAAUAAUUUAAUGAAUUUUUUGUUAAUAGAGAUUGGGUAUACACAUUUUUCGUGUUUGAAUCAAUUUGAGAUCGUAUAAUAUGUGAAUGGGUUUUAUUUUAUGAGCGUUCCACAUUCAAGCACGAAACGAUUGCGAAAGUGGAGUCGAUUUGUAUUUUUUCCGUGGAAUCGCUCUUCAUUAACCACUUUUUGUUGGUAUUUGGACCGCGAAAACAGACUCCGCAUUGGCAAUACGAUGUGGCGCGCGUGUGAAUGUGGAGCGCCUAAAUAAGCAUAUGAAUUUAAAUCUCUUACCAGAUAAUGUAUAUUCUACUGCGGAAGGAUUUUUUUCUAAAAUAUGUUCAAGGAAAUACAUAUUUUGAUAUAAUUUCCGAAUUUUCUAAUAAAUAAACCUCUUAGUAAGAAUUUAUGCAGUUGUGCGUGUGGUACCUAAGGUGUAGCUUUAGUAUUAAAAAAAUUAAAUAUAUUACAUUGAUUUAUAUUAUAAAUUGGUUCUACUGUUAACGAGAGUACAACAAAAUGUAUACGUAAACUACAAUUCCAGUAGUGUGUAUAGAAAAGAGGAACUUUACCUUGCAGUGUGUUUGGGCUAAAACUGACUGCAUUAAAAGGACAGAAUGUUUCAAGUUCUAUUUGAAAAUUACGUAUUCCAUUAUCUCAAUUGCUUAUCACUUUUGUUACAAAAUGAAUGAGUACCACAAAUCUCCGUCAGAAACUGUUUGUGCUCAAGUUAAAACUGAAAAAUUAGAGAAAGAUAUCAGUGAUUUAAUUCGACCUUUAAGUUGGAGAAAUUAGAAUAAAUAUAUGCAAUGCUGAGAAAAUAUGACUUGUGUGAACCAAUAUAGCUGAAUAUAAUUGAAACCAUUACCUAAUUAUAAGAUGGAAACAUUAAAUACUAGAAAAUAUCUAGCAGAAUUAUAUCAUUUUAGUAUAUAUUAAUUUAUUUCUCAAUUUUUCCAGCUCGAUGAGGUAUGCAACAUGUUAUUUAUGUUAAAUUGUAAUUUCAACUAUCAUAAUGAGAAAUAAAUGUUAAAACUAUUUAUUACGAUCUAUUCGUUUAAAAGAAUCAGAUUUUAUUAUUAUUAUAUUAUCAAAAAUUGAAUGAAAAGGACUCGAAACACUCUGUAUAUCUUCAUAAUUGUAUAUAGCGUUGUAAAUCUUUAGGUUAGGGUUGAAAUGUAUACUGUUUAUCUAGGAUAUUAUUUGUUUGUUUUUUGGUUUUAUAUUAUGAAAGUUUUGUUGCUUAUUUGUUGCUCAAUAUUCCCUUUUUCGAAAAAUGUAAAAUACGCCCCCACCCGAUCUGUCCUUUUCUCUAUCGUCUGUCGUCUCUGUGUACUGUAAUUUAUUUUAAUAAAAGUCAUGUUCUAAAAAAA
RNA transcript from Diorhabda carinulata, 8721 nucleotides. It is a transcript of the gene named homeotic protein ultrabithorax, with no coding region annotated. The record is from RefSeq and is a predicted model, not a curated record. NCBI's taxonomy places the organism in Eukaryota, Metazoa, Arthropoda, Insecta, Coleoptera, Chrysomelidae. The transcript is spliced from 3 exons.